RNAcentral lists this ribosomal RNA (465 nucleotides) under uncultured bacterium. RNAcentral's name for it is "partial 16S ribosomal RNA". It matches the Rfam family "Bacterial small subunit ribosomal RNA", at positions 339 to 795 of the family's 1533-position model. The record is from RNAcentral.
CUACGGGCGGCAGCAGUGGGGAAUAUUGGACAAUGGGGGAAACCCUGAUCCAGCAAUGCCGCGUGUGUGAAGAAGGCCUGCGGGUUGUAAAGCACUUUCGGUUGGGAGGACUGCUUCUAGCACUAAUAUUGUUGGAAGUUGACGUUACCUUCAGAAGAAGCACCGGCUAACUCCGUGCCAGCAGCCGCGGUAAUACGGAGGGUGCAAGCGUAAAUCGGAAUUACUGGGCGUAAAGCGCGCGUAGGCGGCUAGAUCAGUCGGGUGUGAAAGCCCCGGGCUUAACCUGGGGACUGCAUCCGAUACUGUCUAGCUUGAGUACAGGAGAGGAGAGUGGAAUUCCACAUGUAGCGGUGAAAUGCGUAGAUAUGUGGAGGAGCACCAAUGGCGAAGGCAGCUCUCUGGCCUGAUACUGACGCUGAGGUGCGAAAGCGUGGGGAGCAAACAGGAUUAGAUACCCUAGUAGUC